This 214-nucleotide long non-coding RNA is filed under the name Elaeis guineensis (African oil palm). Its description in RNAcentral is "long non-coding RNA (EGUI_LNC057075)". Lineage: Eukaryota; Viridiplantae; Streptophyta; Magnoliopsida; Arecales; Arecaceae. The record is from RNAcentral.
UGAGGGGUUUUUGGUGAGGGAAAUUGAUAUUUCUUGAAAGUAAGGCCUUUGAAUUUUUUUCCUUUGAGUUUUCAUGCUUUUGAGUAUUUUUUGAGAAUAUAGCCUUUGUAUUUUCUUGAAGAUGUAACAAGACUCAUAAGCAAAAAUGAUUAAGCUUUUUAGGAGACCUACAACUAUUCUCAAGCAAUUUAUUAGUAAACAUAAUUUAUAGUCA